UGGGGGAAUCUUCCGCAAUGGGGCGAAAGCCUGACGGAGCAACGCCGCGUGAGUGAUGAAGGCCUUAGGGUUGUAAAGCUCUUUUGUCCGGGACGAUAAUGACGGUACCGGAAGAAUAAGCCCCGGCUAACUUCGUGCCAGCAGCCGCGGUAAUACGAAGGGGGCUAGCGUUGCUCGGAAUCACUGGGCGUAAAGGGCGCGUAGGCGGCCAUUCAAGUCGGGGGUGAAAGCCUGUGGCUCAACCACAGAAUUGCCUUCGAUACUGUUUGGCUUGAGUUUGGUAGAGGUUGGUGGAACUGCGAGUGUAGAGGUGAAAUUCGUAGAUAUUCGCAAGAACACCAGUGGCGAAGGCGGCCAACUGGACCAAUACUGACGCUGAGGCGCGAAAGCGUGGGGAGCAAACAGGAUUAGAUACCCUGGUAGU
RNAcentral lists this ribosomal RNA (424 nucleotides) under uncultured Methylobacterium sp. RNAcentral describes it as "bacterial SSU rRNA". It matches the Rfam family "Bacterial small subunit ribosomal RNA", at positions 354 to 794 of the family's 1533-position model. The record is from RNAcentral. Lineage: Bacteria; Pseudomonadati; Pseudomonadota; Alphaproteobacteria; Hyphomicrobiales; Methylobacteriaceae.